CCUACGGGGGGCAGCAGUAGGGAAUUUUCGUCAAUGGGCGCAAGCCUGAACGAGCAAUGCCGCGUGAACGAGGAAGGUCUUCGGAUCGUAAAGUUCUGUUGAAGGGGAAAAAGAGCGGAGAGAGGAUAUGCUUUCUGAUUGAUAUUACCCUUCGAGGAAGUCACGGCUAACUACGUGCCAGCAGCCGCGGUAAUACGUAGGGGGCGAGCGUUAUCCGGAAUGAGUGGGCGUAAAGCGCUCGUAGGCGGUCUGUCAAGUCAGGGGUGAAAUCCCCGGGCUCAACGUGGGAACUGCCUUUGAAACUGGCAAACUAGAGUGUGUGAGAGGGUAGUAGAAUUCCAGGUGUAGGAGUGAAAUCCGUAGAGAUCUGGAGGAACAUCAGUGGCGAAGGCGACUAUCUGGCACAUAACUGACGCUGAGGAGCGAAAGCGUGGGGAGCAAACAGGAUUAGAUACCCGGGUAGUC
RNAcentral lists this ribosomal RNA (465 nucleotides) under uncultured bacterium. RNAcentral's name for it is "partial 16S ribosomal RNA". It matches the Rfam family "Bacterial small subunit ribosomal RNA", at positions 338 to 795 of the family's 1533-position model. The record is from RNAcentral.